This 226-nucleotide ribosomal RNA is filed under the name uncultured bacterium. RNAcentral's name for it is "partial 16S ribosomal RNA". It matches the Rfam family "Bacterial small subunit ribosomal RNA", at positions 524 to 743 of the family's 1533-position model. The record is from RNAcentral.
UACGUAGGAGGCAAGCGUUGUCCGGAGUUACUGGGCGUAAAGCGUGCGCAGGCGGUUGUGUAAGACAGAUGUGAAAAUCCCCCGGGGCUCAACCUGGGGAACUGCAUUUUGUGACUGCACAGCUGGAGUGCGGCAGAGGGGGGGAUGGGAAUUCCGCGUGUAGCAGUGAAAUGCGUAGAUAUGCGGAGGAACACCGAUGGCGAGGCAAUCCCCCUGGGCUCACUGA